UUCAGAAGUGGAGUCAUUUAUUGAGGUUUAUAUUGAGGAGUCAAAGAGGAGUCAACCAAACAUUUCCAGUACUACCAUCGAUGGUAAAUUGGAAAAUGAAUUUGCAAAUUGGUUCAAUGACUAUGCACAUGAUCCUUCAAAUAACAUUUCAAACAAAUAUAUAAAGGAUCUUGCAAA
Molecule: long non-coding RNA, 177 nt
Organism: Ipomoea nil (Japanese morning glory)
Lineage: Eukaryota; Viridiplantae; Streptophyta; Magnoliopsida; Solanales; Convolvulaceae
Exons: 3
Source: RefSeq, a predicted model, not a curated record